AGUCAUCAUGGCCCUUACGACCAGGGCUACACACGUGCUACAAUGGGAAUUACAGAGGGAUGCGAAGGUGCGAGCUGGAGCGAAACUCAAAAAGGUAAUCUUAGUCCGGAUUGCAGUCUGCAACUCGACUGCAUGAAGUCGGAAUCGCUAGUAAUCGCAGGUCAGAAUACUGCUGUGAAUACGUUCCCGGGUCUUGUACACACCUCCCGUCACACCAUGGGAGUGGGUUGCUCCAGAAGGAGAUAGCUUAAC
This 252-nucleotide ribosomal RNA is filed under the name Francisella tularensis subsp. holarctica. RNAcentral's name for it is "partial 16S ribosomal RNA". It matches the Rfam family "Bacterial small subunit ribosomal RNA", at positions 1188 to 1439 of the family's 1533-position model. Lineage: Bacteria; Pseudomonadati; Pseudomonadota; Gammaproteobacteria; Thiotrichales; Francisellaceae. The record is from RNAcentral.